ACGACCUUGUAUAUCUAUUAAACAAUAUUCUUAAUAGUUAAUAUAUCCAUGGGGCACAGAAUUUUAAAGAAAUAAGAUGGUACAUAUAUGUAAAAUUUCCCUUCCUUCUACCCCUGUGCCCCUGCUGUUUAUUCUGGAAGCAACUAAUGCUACCUAUUUCUUUUGUAUGGACACGACUGCUUUGUAAAAUAGAUAGUGUCCCAGUACUGGUUUGAUAGUAAUGGAGAAGAGAAAGAUUAAUGACAGAGACAUCAGUUUGGCAAUCACUGCAAAAGUCCAGGUGAUGAAAUGAGGCAUUAAGUAGAGUAGUUACUCUGAAUAUAAGAGACUCUAAAAAGACACUUCAUCAUCCUUUAUUCCCCUCCAGUAUGUUUACAGAUGGCACGGUAGGAGUCCAAGAUGACUGAAAUUUUGCCUUGAGACUUGAGGAAUGCGCAUAAAGAAGAGCAGAGCGAGGAACACAGAAUUCCUUCCAGAUGGGCUUCGGGAGGCAACCACUGGGCUCUGUUACGCACUGAUAUUUGGAAAGAGAAAGUACACAUCGACUGCAACUUGUCUAUUAACAUCCUGUGAAAACUACCAAAAGAAGGGAUCAGCUACCUGUGCAUCUUGGGGCAGUCAGCCAAUCUACUUUUUUCUCCAAAACUGAAGCAGUUCUUGAGGGAAGGAAACAGCUCUGCACAUCCUGUAAAGGUGGCAGGAUUCCACCAUCACAUUUUGAAAGGAUUUUCCAAGGAAGCCUGGGUGCAAAAAAUUUCAAAGAAACUCCUUUCUUCACAGUGAACAUAAAUUAAAAAAAGAAAGAAAGAAAGAAAGAAAGCCAAAGGGAAAGAAGAAUAACUACAAAGGCCCAUGGUCCAUAUAUUUCAUGAGGAUCUAGAUCCAUUUUUAAUUCGGCAGCGUCAUACAAUGAACAUUUACACAGCUCUGCUCCCAGAACCUAAACAUGCCGAAUGAUUUUAUUUGUGUCUCAUCACUGGAGUAAGAAAGACCAUGUAAUCAGAAACCAUUGGCGUCGGAAGAGACCCUCUGAAAGUCAUGAAGACCAGACUCUCAUUCCAAGUUUGCUU
Odocoileus virginianus texanus is the source of this 1070-nucleotide non-coding RNA. Lineage: Eukaryota; Metazoa; Chordata; Mammalia; Artiodactyla; Cervidae. The record is from RefSeq and is a predicted model, not a curated record.